CACACCUCCUUGACAGUACCUUGAGUAGUAUUUCUCCAAUUCUCCUUGAUAAGUUGCUGGAAGUCCUUAUGAUUAGCCCAUGCAUUAUAGAAUCUGAAGGGGACCUUCCUGAUCAUAGUAGCUUCAGUCAAAGUGAGCACCAUUGGAUUAUGAUCAGAGAUUAGUGGAGGAUCAUAUACAGUUUGUACAUGACUCCAUUUAAUCAUCCAUUCAUAAUUACCAAAUAUUCUGUCCAAUCUGCUACAAACUCUAUCAUUGCCAGUUUGUUUAUUGGUCCAUGUGAAA
RNAcentral lists this long non-coding RNA (285 nucleotides) under Nicotiana benthamiana. Its description in RNAcentral is "long non-coding RNA (NBEN_LNC013452)". The record is from RNAcentral. Lineage: Eukaryota; Viridiplantae; Streptophyta; Magnoliopsida; Solanales; Solanaceae.